AUUGAACGCUGGCGGCAGGCCUAACGCAUGCAAGUCGAACGGUAACUGGAAGAAGCUUGCUUCUUUGCUGACGAGUGGCGGACGGGUGAGUAAUGUCUGGGAAACUGCCUGAUGGAGGGGGAUAACUACUGGAAACGGUAGCUAAUACCGCAUAACGUCGCAAGACCAAAGAGGGGGACCUUCGGGCCUCUUGCCAUCGGAUGUGCCCAGAUGGGAUUAGCUAGUAGGUGGGGUAACGGCUCACCUAGGCGACGAUCCCUAGCUGGUCUGAGAGGAUGACCAGCCACACUGGAACUGAGACACGGUCCAGACUCCUACGGGAGGCAGCAGUGGGGAAUAUUGCACAAUGGGCGCAAGCCUGAUGCAGCCAUGCCGCGUGUAUGAAGAAGGCCUUCGGGUUGUAAAGUACUUUCAGCGGGGAGGAAGGGAGUAAAGUUAAUACCUUUGCUCAUUGACGUUACCCGCAGAAGAAGCACCGGCUAACUCCGUG
RNAcentral lists this ribosomal RNA (490 nucleotides) under uncultured bacterium. RNAcentral's name for it is "partial 16S ribosomal RNA". It matches the Rfam family "Bacterial small subunit ribosomal RNA", at positions 30 to 507 of the family's 1533-position model. The record is from RNAcentral.